This 253-nucleotide ribosomal RNA is filed under the name uncultured bacterium. Its description in RNAcentral is "partial 16S ribosomal RNA". It matches the Rfam family "Bacterial small subunit ribosomal RNA", at positions 524 to 776 of the family's 1533-position model. The record is from RNAcentral.
UACGUAGGUGGCAAGCGUUGUCCGGAUUUAUUGGGUUUAAAGGGUGCGUAGGCGGUCCUAUAAGUCAGUUGUGAAAUACGGCAGCUUAACUGUCGAGGUGCAAUUGAUACUGCAGGACUUGAGUACAGACGAGGUAGGCGGAAUUGACGGUGUAGCGGUGAAAUGCUUAGAUAUCGUCAAGAACACCGAUAGCGAAGGCAGCUUACUAGACUGUAACUGACGCUGGGGCACGAAAGUGUGGGGAUCAAACAGG